GACGAACCGUACGAACGUUAUUCGGAUUUACUGGGCUUAAAGGGUGCGUAGGCGGCGCGGCAAGUUGGGUGUGAAAUCCCUCGGCUUAACCGAGGAACUGCGCCCAAAACUACCGUGCUCGAGGGAGACAGAGGUGAGCGGAACUUAGGGUGGAGCGGUGAAAUGCGUUGAUAUCCUAAGGAACACCAGUGGCGAAAGCGGCUCACUGGGUCUCUUCUGACGCUGAUGCACGAAAGCUAGGGUAGCGAACGGG
Molecule: ribosomal RNA, 253 nt
Filed under: uncultured bacterium
Lineage: Bacteria
Description: partial 16S ribosomal RNA
Rfam family: Bacterial small subunit ribosomal RNA
Source: RNAcentral